Molecule: long non-coding RNA, 824 nt
Filed under: Lonchura striata (white-rumped munia)
Lineage: Eukaryota; Metazoa; Chordata; Aves; Passeriformes; Estrildidae
Description: domestica (Bengalese finch) lncRNA (ENSLSDG00000011197.1)
Source: RNAcentral
GUGUUAAUGUAAGAACUAAGCAGGUAAAGUAGUUACAGAGUAUUGUUUUCUUCUUCUGUGUUUUCCUUUUUCUAAUAACUUCAGGAUGCAGAGUUGAAGACUGUACAUUCCUGGGUAAGCCUGUGUAAAACGAUGAAGCUCCCAGCUCCAAUAAAAGCAUCUGCUGAGAGCUUCAAUCAGUUCAGGGAUGCAGUAUUAAAGAGGAGUGGGCAAGUGCAGGAGUCCAAAAGGUCUCUUGUGCAAACCGAGAGGGAGCUGCAGAAUCUUCCACAAGAAAACAAAACAUUUGUAACCACUUCUGUGGGCCAUGAAAGCACAGGAUCGGAUGCCAUGGCAGUGACAGACUGUGAGCUUGAAAAAGAAAUACAUGAGAGCAGACUGCCCGAAGCUCAGCAAUGUAUUCUUGAUCAAGACCGUAACUUGGCUAGAAAAAUGGAACAAGAACGCAGAAGGAAGGAAGCAACAUCUUGGAUAAUUGAUGUGAAUCUGCAGAGAGAUAUUAUGGCAUCUUUCGAAGAAUAUCUUGAGUGAAAGCAGUAGUUUAUAUAGAAUUUAACUUCAGACUACUAAAAAGAGCACAGUUUUGUACUAGUUAGAAUGUUAAAUAUUAAAACCACUUUAAAGUUCUUCUCUAAAAUGCUUUGUAUUAAAAAUUGUUCACUAAUACCUGAAGUGUCACAAGAUUUAUUUCUUUUCACUGCUUGUUUAUAACAUGUAAUCUGUUCUGCUGCACAGUGGAAUGAAGUUAUUAAUUUGAUUGCAGUUUCAUUUUUGUGUAUAUCUGUUAAAAUAAAAAAAAAAUCACUUUACUGUGAUUUUAAAAA